UACGAGGGGGGCGAGCGUUGUUCGGAAUUAUUGGGCGUAAAGGGUGCGUAGGCGGUUUGGUAAGUCUUAUGUGAAAUCUACAGGCUCAACUUGUAGUCUGCAUGAGAAACUGCCGGGCUUGAGUGUGGGAGAGGUGAGUGGAAUUCCUGGUGUAGCGGUGAAAUGCGUAGAUAUCAGGAGGAACACCUGUGGCGAAAGCGGCUCACUGGACCAUAACUGACGCUGAUGCACGAAAGCCAGGGGAGCAAACGGG
This 253-nucleotide ribosomal RNA is filed under the name uncultured bacterium. RNAcentral describes it as "partial 16S ribosomal RNA". It matches the Rfam family "Bacterial small subunit ribosomal RNA", at positions 524 to 776 of the family's 1533-position model. The record is from RNAcentral.